AGAGACAGCAGCAGCCACGGUAAUACCGAGGGUGCGAGCGUUAAUCGGAUUUACUGGGCGUAAAGCGUGCGUAGGCGGCUUUUUAAGUCGGAUGUGAAAUCCCUGAGCUUAACUUAGGAAUUGCAUUCGAUACUGGGAAGCUAGAGUAUGGGAGAGGAUGGUAGAAUUCCAGGUGUAGCGGUGAAAUGCGUAGAGAUCUGGAGGAAUACCGAUGGCGAAGGCAGCCAUCUGGCCUAAUACUGACGCUGAGGUACGAAAGCAUGGGGAGCAAACAGGAUUAGAUACCCGCGUAGUCCCUGUCUCUUAUAA
RNAcentral lists this ribosomal RNA (309 nucleotides) under uncultured bacterium. Its description in RNAcentral is "partial 16S ribosomal RNA". It matches the Rfam family "Bacterial small subunit ribosomal RNA", at positions 504 to 809 of the family's 1533-position model. The record is from RNAcentral.